This is a long non-coding RNA of Mytilus trossulus (common blue mussel), 2897 nucleotides long. RefSeq lists it as uncharacterized. The transcript has 2 exons. The record is from RefSeq and is a predicted model, not a curated record. NCBI's taxonomy places the organism in Eukaryota, Metazoa, Mollusca, Bivalvia, Mytilida, Mytilidae.
UGUUAAAUAAUAUUCAUUGGAGCCUCACAAUUUAACUGAUGUAGAAUAACUGCUUGUUCCCAACUUAAAAUGAAAAAGAAAUAAAAAAUUUAAAUACAAAAAUAAAGAAUUGUGUAUAUAUAAUUUCAAAGUAGGUAAAGGAUAUAAGGGGAAAAUCUGUUGCAUGCUUGUUCCUGCAUUGAUUCUUAAUUUUUAUUAAUCAGCUUAUAUAUAACGCCUCUUACCUAUAAAAGAUGCCUUAGCUCUGUGGUAUUUAUAGUUUCAGCCAUAUGUGUGCCAUUGUCAACGAGUUUUUGUGCUAUUCCACUACUACUUUUGUGUACUAGACUAGUGGCAAUAUGUAUAAGUAGUUACUUCUACUGGAUAAUGACAAGAGAUUGGCGACCCAAAGAUCAAUGGAAAUUAUAUCGUACACAGCAAUAGCAAUAAAUCUGAUUUAUGAGUCUGCGUUAACCAGGGGUCGGCUGGUGUUGUUACUGAUCACCAGCCUGCUAACUGCUAUGUCCUACUUUUUCUACUGGGCAGUUACAUUCAAGACCUCUUCUUUGAAAAGGAACACCUCUAGUAAAGACUUGAAAGAAAAGGGCCAAUAAAAAGAUGGAAACCAGGAAAUGUUACCACAGAACAGGAAUCAGUAGAAUUACAUGGUGCUUUUCAAUUUGUAUUCCACAUUACAUUGACAAAAGUAUUUUUUGUGAUUUCUGGCAUUUUAGGGUAUCAAUUGUUUUUAAAAAUAUAUUUUCCAACCAAUAUAUACUUUUUCUUAAAUACUUUACAUAUAACUAGUAUUUAUUAAAAAAUGUUCAAAUUGUAUUAUUAUUUUUCUAAUUAAGGAUUAAAUGUUUGAUAAUAGAUAUUAUAAAAUUGUAAAAGCAAUGAUAUGAUUUGUUUAGCUCAGAAAAGCUUUGAAAAAAACAUGUAAAAAAAUAAACUUUCUAAGUAUUCAUGUUGAAACAUAUUUAUAAAAAAGUCUUUUACAAUUUCAUAAUAGUAUAUAGGUUACCUUUAACAUUUUUGAAGUGUCAUUUACGUUUUUGUAUAUUAGGAACCAGUUUAUACAGUGGGAUUAUGCCUAAGAGACCAUCAUCAGAUUUAGAAUUUCUUAUUUUCUUAUAAUAGUUUAUCUUGACACAUAAGCAUAUUUUGUUGUUUCAAUUUGACAUUUUUUACAGUAGCUAUAACCAUCUGAUGGAUUUUUAUAAAGACAUUUAUCAGCAGUAUGUAAAAUGUUCAAGACACAAAAAAAGUCAUAAAUUUAUCUGAAAAGUUUAGUGCGAGACGAUUAAGUCGGAAAUUAUAAGGGAAAGAUGGGGAAAACAUUUUAAUGUAUGAUGAUCUCCAAUAUAAAGUGUGUAGAUUAAGUUAUGUCAAUGUCAUAUAUAAAAACCACACAUCAUUAAUACCAUUGUCAUUUGUAUAUAAUACAUCUUCAUACAUUGGGUAUGCUUUUCAUGGCUUUACAUAUUUAGAAGUUUUGUAGAUCUCAAUGUCAUGUACACACAUUAGCUGUAGAAAGUUAACUGAGACUUAUCAUGUUCAUUUGAAUGUGAAAUAAAUCCUCGAGAAUAAUGAUAUCAUAUAUUCCUUAAAUGUGUUCACAUAGAGGGUCUCGAAAAAAGGGGCUGAUGUUUUUAAUAUAUUAUGAAAAUGUUUUUAUUCAUUCAAUUGUAUCUAAAGGGACCAAAGACUUCUGUCUUACAUAUAUUUGAAUCUUUUUGUUAAUUACCAAACAAGUUAUAGCAUAGCAAUAGUAUUUGACCAGAAAAUGAGGAAUUAGAUGCUCGCCUUGUUCAUAUAAAGAUAUAUGUUAUAUUUCAUUUGAGCUAUUGGAAAAGGAAACAUAUUAAAAUGUAACAGCUUAUUUCAGCUUAAGUAUAAAAUUGAGUCAAUGUAUUUUAAACAAUUCUUACUUCAAACACUGAAUAGGUAAAACAGUUUCAACAUAAAGGUGAUCAUUUCCUUUUCUACAAAAAAAUAAGUCAUGGCUUUAUCUCAAUGCAGUGAAAGUAUGAUACCCAAGAAAGAGCUUUUCAAAAGAAAAAGUGUCAUCAAAGAUACCAGGCUUAUAUUUGUGUAUGCCAGCAAUUCAGAAGAAUUUGUAAUGCAGAUUUGCAUCUAUAAUUAAUUAAUACCACUUAGACUAUGGGUUAUUUAUCAACUUUUUGAAAUUUUGGAUCCUCAAUGCUCUUCAACUUUGUACUUGAUUUGGCUUUAUAAAUAUUUUGAUAUGAGUGUCACUGAUGAGUCUUAUGAAGACGAAACGCGCGUCUGGCGUACUAAAUUGUAAUCCUGGUUCCUUUGAUAACUAUUAUCAGUUAGUCUGUCCAGGAAUCGAGGCAAAAUAAGAAAACAAUUAUCUUGAAUUACUUGCUGUAUCAACAAGAAAUUGAAAAGAAACUCAAGUUGUCAUUUUGAAAUAGACAAACUUCAGGAAAUUAUAUAUUUCAAUUGGUCAGAUUUGUCUGUAGUUUAAAGUUACUUAAUAGUACCAGAUGAAAAAAAAAAUUCAAGUAAUGCAGGGUAAAAUAAAUGGCAGUAAAAUAUUUGUUAAAUUAACCAAUAUAAAACCUUAGAAUUGAAUCAUCAGAAUGUUUAAUGAGUUAAGAUAUAUAUAUAAAAAAAAUGUAAGAAGUAUUUUAGGAUAUGUUUUUAUUAUUUUUAAGUAUAACUGAUUUUAUAAAUCCUGUUAAUGACUUAUUUUCAUAGUAUAUAAUGUUAUAUAAAGAACGUGUUAACACAAGUUACAAUGGAACAGGUUUAUGUAAGAAAUGUUUUGUGGAUAUAUCGUAAAACCUUAACAGAAAUCCCUCCUAUGUGAUAAUGUAAUGUUUGUAAAAUUGUGUUUGAUGCAUAAUUCAUUAAUUGUUUACAAAAAUAAACAACAUUUCAUGAUGAUA